Unclassified non-coding RNA from Callithrix jacchus (white-tufted-ear marmoset), 292 nucleotides. It matches the Rfam family "Metazoan signal recognition particle RNA". From Rfam's summary of the family: The signal recognition particle (SRP) is a universally conserved ribonucleoprotein. It is involved in the co-translational targeting of proteins to membranes. The record is from Ensembl. NCBI's taxonomy places the organism in Eukaryota, Metazoa, Chordata, Mammalia, Primates, Cebidae.
UCCGGGUGCAGUGACACGUACCUGUAGUCCCAGCUGCUCAGGAGGCUGAGGUAGGAGGAUUGCUUGAGCCCAGCAGUUCUGGACUGCAGUGCGCUAUGCCGAUUGGGUGUCAGCACUAAGUUGGGUAUCAAUAUGGUGACUUCCCGGGAGCGGAGGACCACCAGGUUGCCUAAGGAGGGGUGAACUGGCCCAGAUUGGAAAUGGGGCAGGUCGAAACUCCCGUGUAGUGGGAUCGCGCCUGUGAAUAGCCACUGCACUCCAGCCUGGGCAACAUAGCGAGACCCCCGUCUCU